Molecule: long non-coding RNA, 791 nt
Organism: Numida meleagris (helmeted guineafowl)
Lineage: Eukaryota; Metazoa; Chordata; Aves; Galliformes; Numididae
Product: lysosomal alpha-mannosidase-like
Source: Ensembl
CAUGGCACUGACCCCCUCCCACCUCUCUGACCCCCUCCCAGAUGGGGUACGACGCGCUGUUCCUGGGCCGUGUGGACCACGAGGACAAGGCAGCGCGAGAGGAGCGCCGGGAGAUGGAGCUCAUCUGGAGGGCGGGGGGCAGCGGGCCCCCCCCCGACGGCGACAUCUUCACCGGAAUCCUCCCCAACAUCUACAACCCCCCCUCGGGGUUCUGCUGGGACCAGCUCUGCUCCGACCCCCCCGUGGUGGACGGGGACAGCGCCGAGAACAACGUGGACGUCCUGGUCACCUCCUUCCUGCAGGCCGCUGCCCAGCAGGCCAAGCGGUACCGCACCGACCACAUCGUGAUGACCAUGGGCUCCGACUUCCACUACGAGAACGCCAACCUCUGGUUCAAGAACCUGGACAAACUCAUCGCCCACGUCAACGCGCGGCAAGCCAACGGCAGCCGCGUCCACGUGCUGUACUCCACGCCGUCCUGUUACCUCCGGGAGCUGCACCGCGCCAACCUCACCUGGUCCGUGAAGACGGACGACUUCUUCCCCUACUCCGACGGCCCCCACCAGUUCUGGACGGGGUACUUCACCAGCCGGCCCGCCUUCAAGCGCUACGAGCGCCUCAGCAGCAACUUCCUGCAGGUGGGACCCCCCUGGGACCCCCGGGACCCCCCGGGGACACCUCCGGGCACCAGGACCCCUCCCCAAUGCUCCGUCCCCCUGCAGAUCUGCAGCCAACUGGAGGCCCUGGCGGGGUCGGCUGCGCGCGACGGCCCCUACGGCACCGGGGACAGC